RNAcentral lists this ribosomal RNA (465 nucleotides) under Vreelandella stevensii. RNAcentral's name for it is "partial 16S ribosomal RNA". It matches the Rfam family "Bacterial small subunit ribosomal RNA", at positions 338 to 795 of the family's 1533-position model. Lineage: Bacteria; Pseudomonadati; Pseudomonadota; Gammaproteobacteria; Oceanospirillales; Halomonadaceae. The record is from RNAcentral.
CCUACGGGGCGCUGCAGUGGGGAAUAUUGGACAAUGGGCGAAAGCCUGAUCCAGCCAUGCCGCGUGUGUGAAGAAGGCCUUCGGGUUGUAAAGCACUUUCAGUGGGGAAGAAAGCCUUGGGGCUAAUACCCUCGAGGAAGGACAUCACCUACAGAAGAAGCACCGGCUAACUCCGUGCCAGCAGCCGCGGUAAUACGGAGGGUGCGAGCGUUAAUCGGAAUUACUGGGCGUAAAGCGCGCGUAGGCGGUCUGAUAAGCCGGUUGUGAAAGCCCCGGGCUCAACCUGGGAACGGCAUCCGGAACUGUCAGGCUAGAGUGCAGGAGAGGAAGGUAGAAUUCCCGGUGUAGCGGUGAAAUGCGUAGAGAUCGGGAGGAAUACCAGUGGCGAAGGCGGCCUUCUGGACUGACACUGACGCUGAGGUGCGAAAGCGUGGGUAGCAAACAGGAUUAGAUACCCGAGUAGUC